This 292-nucleotide ribosomal RNA is filed under the name uncultured bacterium. RNAcentral's name for it is "partial 16S ribosomal RNA". It matches the Rfam family "Bacterial small subunit ribosomal RNA", at positions 505 to 796 of the family's 1533-position model. The record is from RNAcentral.
GUGUCAGCAGCCGCGGUAAUACGUAGGGGGCAAGCGUUGUCCGGAUUUAUUGGGCGUAAAGAGCGUGUAGGCGGCUUGGUAGGUCCGCUGUGAAAACUCGAGGCUCAACCUCGAGAUGUCGGCGGAAACCACUUGGCUAGAGUCCGGAAGAGGAGAGUGGAAUUCCCGGUGUAGCGGUGAAAUGCGCAGAUAUCGGGAAGAACACCUAUGGCGAAGGCAGCUCUCUGGGACGGUACUGACGCUGAGACGCGAAAGCGUGGGGAGCGAACAGGAUUAGAAACCCUCGUAGUCC